CUUCGUCGAUUUGUUGCGGGCAGAUGAAAUGAAUAUGGCUGUCGAUGCCACCCGCUGUGACAAUCGAGCCUUCGCCUGCAAUCACUUCGGUGCCAGGACCAAUCACUAACGUCACGCCCGGUUGCACAUCAGGGUUACCGGCUUUGCCAAUGCCCGCGAUACGGCCAUUUUUAACCCCGAUAUCGGCUUUGACGAUGCCCCAGUGGUCGAUGAUCAGCGCAUUAGUGAUCACCAAAUCAAGGCAAUCACGGCUCAGUGCCUGCCCCUGACCUUGACCAUCGCGGAUG
This 287-nucleotide small RNA is filed under the name Tolumonas auensis DSM 9187. Its description in RNAcentral is "5' ureB small RNA". It matches the Rfam family "5' ureB small RNA". Lineage: Bacteria; Pseudomonadati; Pseudomonadota; Gammaproteobacteria; Aeromonadales; Aeromonadaceae. The record is from Rfam by way of RNAcentral.